Molecule: ribosomal RNA, 551 nt
Filed under: uncultured bacterium
Lineage: Bacteria
Description: partial 16S rRNA
Rfam family: Bacterial small subunit ribosomal RNA
Source: RNAcentral
UGGGGAAUAUUGCGCAAUGGGGGGAACCCUGACGCAGCCAUGNCGCGUGAAUGAAGAAGGCCUUCGGGUUGUAAAGUUCUUUCGGUAUUGAGGAAGGUUGAUGUGUUAAUAGCACAUCAAAUUGACGUUAAAUACAGAAGAAGCACCGGCUAACUCCGUGCCAGCAGCCGCGGUAAUACGGAGGGUGCGAGCGUUAAUCGGGAAUAACUGGGCGUAAAGGGCACGCAGGCGGUUAUUUAAGUGAGGUGUGAAAGCCCCGGGCUUAACCUGGGAAUUGCAUUUCAGACUGGGUAACUAGAGUACUUUAGGGAGGGGUAGAAUUCCACGUGUAGCGGUGAAAUGCGUAGAGAUGUGGAGGAAUACCGAAGGCGAAGCCAGCCCCUUGGGAAUGUACUGNNANNNNNCCANGNGNGNAAAGCGUGGGGAGCAAACAGGAUUAGAUACCCUGGUAGUCCACGCUGUAAACGCUGUCGAUUUGGGGGUUGGGGUUUAACUCUGGCGCCCGUAGCUAACGUGAUAAAUCGACCGCCUGGGGAGUACGGCCGCAAGUU